CGCUGUGUGAGCAUGAAUUAACCAGGAAUGUUCGAGAAUUAUUCCUGAAUAAUUCAUGAACCUGAAUUAAUCAUGCAUUUUCAUGAAUUAUUCAUGAAUAACUCAUGGAAAUGCAAGGUUUAUUCAUGCUCCAAAAAACCCAAGGCUUUUUCUCUUCUCUUCUGCAUUCUCUCCCUGUAAGAAACAGACCUGAAAUAAGCUAAGGAAUAUAUAUAUGUAUUGGGGACAGCAGGUGGGAGCUUCCUAAGCCAGACAAAGGAGACCUGACAAGAAACUGUGCUGAAGGGACAAGCCCAAGGCAAAGGAAUGUCCGGUCACCUCCUCCCCUGGAGCAGGCAGCUGAGAUCUGCAUAGACAGGAGACAUUUUGCAAGACUCAACACCUGGAGCAGUGCUAACCAGGGCUCACUGCCUCGGGUAGAACUCCAUUUGCUGAGCUUUCCUGCUCCAGGUGGGCAGCCCUGAUGUCGGCCAAGCUCUACGUGCUCAUCAGCUGGCCUGAUGGCAGCCGUGUCAUCAGCAUGGAGAACAUCAAGGAGCCCCGCAAGCCCUUCCAUCUCUACGUUGUGGGUGAACAGGUGCUGGCCCGCUGCCCUGGCUUCAGUGGGCUCUACUGGGGGAUUGUGGAAGGCAUAAGUGAGCAUAAAGAUGCUUUGGAGAAGAAGCUGCUGGAAGAUAGACAACUCCUGGAGAAGUUAAAAGACGAACCAGCUGUCCACAGCAUGAUGCCACCCCAGCCAAAAAAAUCCAGGAAAACCUUCCCAAAAUGGACCCCGGUGAAUGCAUGCAGGAAAUACCACACUGACAGGACUUACUCUGGGAAGCCACUGCUGCAGGCAGCUGAGCCCAUCCUGCCCUGCGGUGCUGGCAGCCCCUCCAUCACCAAGGAGAGAUGUACCCUGAGGCCACCCCAUCCCACCAGCACCUUCACCCCCACAGCCACUUUUGUCAGCCUGGCUGUGCCGGGGACUUCCCAGGGUGAGGAGGACAGAGCUGGCACCACUACCAAAGAUUACGUUGCCCUGGCAAUGAAGAGGAAGUCAGAUGGCAUCUUGUCCCAAUGCCAGCAACACAUCUGUCUGAACAGCUGUGAAGAUGGACAGCUGGACACUUUGCAGGACACGGGUGGUUUUGAGAGAGUUCAGAAAAGAUCUGCUCCCAGUGAAACGGAAAGGGAGAAGAUAGAGCAGCUGGAAAGGAUGGUCUUGGACCUCCAACAGGACGUCCUCUCUCUGAAGAAGAAGGUACAGAGGCUGGAAUCCCUGUCCUUCCAGGAGGAGCCCCACCGGCAGCCCUGCGAGGUGGUGGAGCUCUUCAAUGGCUACACCAAGGAACAGCUCCGAGAAGCAAUCCGCUUUGACCAGAAGAUCAGCACUGCCUGCAAGACGCUGCUCUACAAGCUCUUCACGUCCGACUACAUCCAGAGCCACUCCAUCACGGGGCGCAGAGGCAACACUUUCCGAGAGGCAAAGCCCAUGAUGGAUGAGCGCUGCAUCAAAAUCAUCAGGGUGCUGCUGAAACAGAAGUUUGGGGACCACCUCAGCGACACGGUGAUCACAGAGAAGAUACAAAACGUGCAGAAAGCUCUGAGGCAGAAGUUUAAGACAGAAUGUCUCUGACAUGGGGGUGGUUUGGUGUCUCUGGUCCUACCCUUCUCAUCAGUGCACCUGAGCGUCCCUCCCAAAAAUAUCGUGUCUGCAUUGCUGCUGCUUGGCUGAUUCCUCCUGAGGCACUGAAGAGGACACAGAUCUUUCACAAAUGUCUACCUGCAUUAAUCAGAGGGAAGUUUGCUCAGCUUGGCUCCAGGUUUGCACAUCUGCCAGCACUUUACCAGUUCCUUCCACUACAGUCUGUGUGCCAAGCUCAACUUAUGGCUGGGUGUUGACCCCUGGGUCUUUUUGAUGAACACGCUCAAAAGAUGGAGAUUUCCCAUUGGAUCCAAGUGUGGGUUGGUGAGCCAACCUUGCAGUGGUCAGGGAGGGAGAUUGGUGGUGGGGCAGGAGCUGCAGCCCCAACAAAGCAGCAGCUCCAUUUGCACAGGGACUUGGGAGCACCCAAUGUGACUUCUUGCAUAGCACAGCAGUCCCCUCAUCCUGUGGACAGCACCUACUCUCUUUUUGAAUGCAUACUGCAGCUUCUCAUGGUAACAGAAGGGCAGGCUCAUUAACACCAUGCCAUAAAACCUUCAGAGAAGGAUUACUUCACUUUUUUCCCCCCUCUGUUUUAAUGUGGCUGUCUGGAAGAAGUGUUUGCACUAAUGAAGCCUGCUGAACAAGAGAAUGUCUCCUAUGGAAGUUACACUGCAUUGAUUUUCCUUUUAAAACUAGAUUAUUUCCAUGGAGAAAUCCUGCAUGUUUCUGUGAAUGGGGGCAAGCAAUGGGGGCAAAAAGUGGCCAACUGCAGGUACACCUUUCCUUCAAAGAUCAGACACAUUGUGAUGCAGCCAUUAUAAUUUAAGUACAAUGUUUGUAGCCUAACUAAGAAAUGCCAGGUAGAAUCAGCUACUUUCAUUAGAUGUGUUUAACAGUCAUGCUGCAUUGCUGGAGUCAGUAACUGAUGAUAUUCCUUCUGUUUCUUCUUCCUCUCAACCAUGUGAAGGUGGUGGGUGGUUUCUUGUUAGCAUGGACCUUGAUGUGAGCAGCAGCUGAACCCAAUCACCUGUGAGUGCUGCACCUGGAGCCAUGCUUACCUCUGGUUUAUAAUGAGCAAAAUUGCCCCAAACAGCCCUUAAAAUGUGGCUGCCAUUCCAUCAGUGCGUUACUGAGGACCUCAGGUUGGCCUUACUGCCCAGGUGAGCACCCCAGGAGAUGCUUUGAGUGUUGGCUUACCAAAGGGAGGAUCAAGGAGGCACAGGUAGCCUGAUUUUGAUGCACUUUGGCACCAGCCCAUGGGGCUCUGUGCAUCUCCAGUUUUCAGCUUCCCCAGCAGCAGGAUGCAGUGGUGAGGAUGCUUCCUCCAACCUGCUGAGCCCUGGGUGCACCUUCUGCCUUCAUCCAACCUCCUGGUGCUUUGCCACAUCCUUUGCCAAGCUGCAGCCUGGAAAGCCAGCUCACUAAUGUUAUUUAGUAAAAUAUUAAAACCCUGUGUUGCUUUCCUCCUCGCCGAGAUGCCAAUCAUUAGCAUGAAAGGAGGUAGAAAGCAAACUGCAGGGACAGACUGUGCAGGUAUGAUGGCUCCUGAAACAAGAUGUCUCUAAUUAGCUCCUCUGGAAGCAGCUGAACCUGGGAACCUUUCUGUCAAGAACCCCAGAAACCCCCCAAAAUCAGGGCUGGGGGGGAAUGGGCUGCUGGCUGCUGCCCGACUCCAUGUGCAGCAGCCUCGGCACUAAUGAGACCAUGUUCAAAUGGGCCCUUCCAGGCAAUAAACUUUGGCCUCAGGCACUGCUGAAGGCUUUGAUAUGGCAGGGAGGGCUGAAGAAAGGCAACGCAGGUGGCUUUUCAUUAAACUUCAUUUGUGAGGUAUUUGUGGAGGGGAGACAGCGGCUGCAGGCUAAUUGGGAGCACUCAGACACUGACGAUCAAGCACCUCUAUGAGGAAGCCAGUGCUCUCCUCCCCUGAGCUCCAGCUCGGGCUAAUCAGCCUCAGGAGGGGAGAUCACAGCACAGGGAUGGGGCUUCCCCUCGGGGAUGAAGGGUCAGGGAAGAUGGAGGAGGAGGAGGGUUUGUGCCAGAGCCACUUCACCUGGGGAUAUUCAAAGCCUGCAUCCCUCUCUAAGUGAUGGAGAGCAGCUUGACUGCACUGCAUUAACCUUUCACUUUAAAGGAAUUACUGGGAGAAGCAGGACAGGUCUUUCUGCUGAGAUGAAUCAGGUGAGGACAUAACACCUUGUUAAAAGCAAUGCUCCCGUUCAGUUUCUGGGCACUCUGGGUACUGGAGGACAUGGGCAGUGAAAGCUGGGCUCAAACACAGGCUGAGCUUCAAGUUGAGAGCAGCCUGAGGAGGUGCUGCCAAUGGGAGCUUACAUGGGGAAAAAAAUACAAGCUGCCAAGAGAAGAGGGAAAUUCUCUGGUGCUCAACCCUAUUUAGUUCAGUUUUAUCUCCUUGGCUCUGCCAGGGGGGUUCCAGCGUCCAGCACAGGCAGGCUUUAAUUUCCCAUUUCUUGGCUCGUAAGAAACACACACCGCUAAGUCUGAAUAUCCAUGCUGUGUGAAUCCCCUUGGAAGUGUAGCACAGUUUAAUGAAAUCACACAAACUGUGAGCUUUGGUUAAAGGAAUGAUGUUAAAAUGUAACGGAAUCUUUUCUGGUGUUUUAAUCAAGCCUUACAAAAGCUGGCUGCCUUUGCAAGAGUCCCGGGCAGCUGCCACCAGCUCCAGGAGGCGCCCUGAGCUUGCUCCAAGCAGAAUUAGUGAUGGAAGAGCUUUGUGCUUAGUCGUUCCAGAUGCUCUACCAGCCAACCCAAGGAACUGGGAUGCAAGCUAGAGAGAGCUCAGCUGCAUGGCCGUGGAAUGCUGAGAUGCCAAGCCGUGCUCUCUCACUCUCAAAGCUCUCGUGUCCUUGUGGCAUUCAGCACACAGAGAGCAUCUCGACAAGUGGGUUUUGCUUGUUCUGUUCUGGUAUGUCUUUAUCUUAUUUGGCUUUUAAAACGUGGUGAAAGACAGAGAAUGCACCUGGAGACGUUGCCCCACAUCCACACAGAUGUAUUGCAUUAAUGCUUUUGAUUUUUUUUUUAAUUUUUUUUUUACAGCAGUCACUUUUCAUCAUCAUUUUCCAUUUUUCUUGAAAGGAUAACUGCAUAUUUUUGGAGAGCAUGGCCACAUACCUGGUAGGUGUGCAAAUACAUCGGAUUUUAUCUCUUUCAUCUCUCUGCUUCAGUUACGUACUCAUUACACAUGAUUUUUACCAGUAUUUCUCUGUACAUGAUUACAUUAUUCAGCCUCAUAUCUUUCUAUCUCCAGAAUCUAUUCAGAGUCAAAUGGAACUGAGGAGAUCGUUAUUAAAACACAGAAAGCGCAGGAAUAAAAUUAACCGUAGCACCAGUUCUCUGUGUGCUGAAUACACCGAGGAAAUAAAAGGGCCUUCCACUUCUAAUAAAAUCUGGAUAUGAAUUGCCUUGUAAGAGCCUAAAUGAAUUAUGUUCAGAGGCCAAAAAGAGAGAAAAGAGGCAGCUUGGUGCCCUCCAACUGUGGGCUGUCUGCUUGCAUUGCCUUGGUGUGCAGCAUGCCAUAGAAGCUCCAAAACCAGGUGGCAUAUUCUGCUUAGAGUCAGCUUUGAGAUUGCCUGAACGGUUGGGCCAUACAUCCACCUGCAGCUGGAGGACAUCCUGGUGACAUAUGGAUUCCAUGGAGGUUGCUGGCCCUCUGCCUGCCUCCUCCUGCAGGCUCAGCCUUUGAUUCAUCCUUGCCCAGGUGCCUCAGUGGAGGGGGAAGGACAGAGGUUUGAUGGCUUCUCAACCCAAUGCUUACCCCAUUCUAAUCCUCCCAGCGAGGAUUUGGGGCAUAGAUACAGCUUCUCAGCUUCCUUCCCUGAGCACAGGAAGACAAGGGUUGGUGGGACCAUGCUCCAGCAUCCCCUUGCCAACGGCACGUGCCUGUUGUCCCACAGCAUCGCACUCCUCCAGCCACAUCAUGCAAUUUGGAGGCACGUUCUCUCUUAAUGGUACGUCUUAUUGGGUGAGUUGGGUUUUUUGUUUUUUUGGUUUUUUUUUUUUUUUACUUGGCAAAUGGAGUUAGGUGGAGCAAUGGGAGCUGUGUGCCUAACUCAGCAAGGGAGAAAUUAGCACCCUGCAAGGCCGACGACUGCAUGGUGCUUAUUGAUUGCUUCUCAUAGAUACAAGAAGCAGAGCCCAGUGUUGGGCAUGUGAGGGAUGAGGAAGCUGCAGAACCAAUGUAUUCCUGCUCAUGAAUAAUCGUUAAACUCUUAUGAUCCAAAGGAGAUGGGAGGUUAUUAUUAUUUUUAUUAAUUCUAGUAGCACCGUGUCCAGAGACACAGAAGGUGGCGAUGAAUGACAGUUUGUGGAUUCUGAUGGUUUGCCCAUUUUUCUCAGGAAUUUGCAGCAGGCUCAGAUCUGGUCCCAUGCUCGUUAGGAGAACACUGUGUGGAGAAGAAACAUUCAAUAGUGAAUGUUUGUGUCUGAUUCUGCAGAGGGAGAAUGGUGCACCGAUGGCUCAGGAGCAACAUGGAGCCUUUUUUCAUCUCCUCUGUGCUUUCCUGGCCCGGUGCAAAGUUGGAUGAAGUCAAUGUUAACAUCAUUAAAUAUCUUCAGUUUAACUGAAUUUGUCUGGACCAAGGGAGCAAUUCAAAGCUCUAUCUACCCACCAUUCUCUGUGAGAAAUAACCUGCUAACCCUGCCUGUCCCUGCAAAACUGCAUCAUAGAUCUGCAGUAAUCUUUGGUGACAAAUGGUCUGAAAAGUAGAAAAGGAAGAAGCCCAUGAUUUUUUUUUGUGAGCAGAUGAGCUGUCUGGAUUAGGAAGGACAACAGAGGCACUUCCAGCUGCAUGGUCGUUGUCCUGGUGUUUCUUAUUAAAAUUAACUGCCUAAAAAUUGCAGUUACCAUCAACUAGCUACAAGAUGUUUUAUUGUGUUCUGUGGUCCCUGGAGCUUACAUACCCGAAGCUUGCAACCUGGUGAUUAGGAAUAUCGUUUGGAAAAAAAACACAGUUUAACCAAUACGGUGCAGUGCCAGCUUCAACGAGCUCUGCCUUUAUGAAUAAUGAGGUGGACAAAUGGGUGCUUCCCCAGGUGGCAGACUGAAACACAACCGAGCACAGAAAUUGCUUUUUCAUUUUUGUGGCUGAAAACGGGAAGGAUGUUUUUGGAAAGUCACCCAACUGCCAUCUCUUCCCAUCCCCUCCAUGAGAUGCCAUUGCAAGGUUGGGUUUUCACUGCAGAAGCCAGCGUCAGUUUUGCUCGGUAACUCCAGCCUGCAGAAGUUCAGAUACAAGACAAUCAGUUUAUCAGCAAUGAGUGGGAUUCAAUUUUCAGUCCCUAGAUUUCAACAAACCAUUGGAAAAAUACAGCUGUGAUUUUUCCCACAAACAGAAACUGGACGGGCUGCUGAGAGCUCUCAUGUGGUUUGCUCACUUUACAGUGUUGUGUGCAGAAAGUGAAUUGGCCAAACUCUGCUUCAAAUGUGCAUUUCUGGCAUGACAAGGAAGCAAGUAACUCUCCUCAGCUUGGAAUAUCCUCCCCCAGACCAUCGUGUUUAUUUGCUUUACACAAAGGCAAGACUUUCUCUGGCUCACAUGCGGAUUUGCCAUGUGUACUUCUCAUUGAGCAAUCCACCAUGGCAGAAGAAUCAAAGAGGUUUCAGCUCUUUCCCCUACCCUUGCCUUCCCUGUCUGACAGUGUUAAUGAGUGAUAAUGCCUCAUGAUUUUUUUUCACUGGCUAUUGCUGCUGAAAAUUGCUUUGGUGCACUGGGACUCUUAUUCGCUGGGUAUAACAAGAGCGUUCUGCAAAGCAGAGGGAUAAGGACUGAGGAAGUGUUGUAUUUAGAAAUCCUUUGUUGGUCUGACCUUUAUCCUGUCUCAGAAUCAACUUUUAAAGAGUGAUUCCUAUCCCACCUCACCAGGCGUUAUGGAGGAGCAGCAUCUCUCUCCCUUGCACAGAGAUAACUCACACAUCCAAAAGGUAACGAUGCCCACUCCAAUGGCAGAGACUUUGGGCACAGGACCACUGCCAUUUGGGGCUCUUUAUGAACGAUGAAUCUUAGAUUUGUAUAAUAAAAGGCUGGAGAGCUGCUACGUGGGUGGAAAGAGUGGGACCCCAUUCCUACACCUUCCUCACUGCCUGUGUCUGUGUACCGGAGGGCUCAGUGAGAUUUGAGAAAAUGAUAUUUCUUUUGAAGUGGUGGUAGCUGAAGCAUGAAUACAGUCACAAGGAAUGGGGAAGUUUUUCUCAUGUACUGAACCAUUUGUUUGCAAUGAAUCUGCAGCAGAGCAAACCCCAGCGGGUCCCCAAGGCUGGAGCAGAGGAGAUGCUUUGUGUGCUGUGUUGUUCUCCCUAAAAUGUGCAUCGUGGUUCACUGCAUUGACUCCAAGCCCCCUUGGCUUUCACCGCCCCAUGGGGACUGGGAAGAGGACUGGAUGCAUGCUGGGGCCAAAUUCAGCCCCAUAAGGGCUGUAUGCAGCUGCUGUCCCAUCAGCAUCACCAAAGCAGUGAGAAGUUGCACUACUGAGUACACUGAGAAAAUGUAUUUGGCUUCUUCUGUCCUUCAGCAUUUCCUGAAGGGGAUGGACACAGGCGUCUCAUAGGGCUGCAAAGCAAUCUAGGAUAUGGUCAAGGCAUAGCUGGCCAUAUGAAAGGAAGCUUCAAGACAGCUUUAUCCCAAACUUCCACGAUGAUAGCAGUGCUGGGAGGCAGGGAGGGGUGGCACUGGGGAUUUCUGGACUCACCGUGCACCAUAUCUGAAGAGAUGGCAGCUCUGGGUAUUAAAUAGCCUUCAAGAGAACAGGAACAGCUGCAAAAUGUUUUUUUGUUGACCAGUGGUACAGCUCUGGCUGCACUGAAUCUGAAAAGUCAGCAAGUAGAUUAAACAGUACAGUUUAGCUCUGAGGGCUGAGCAUGGGGCUCACCUCAGAAAUGGGUUCUCAGAAACCGUAAUUGAAAGAAAAUGUGAUAUUUCUAAAUCUCAUAAGGCUGGGAAUCUGCCGAGAGGCACAGGCGGAGUGAUGGAGCGCACGUGCUGUGUGUGCCCAUCCUGCCUUUCUUGUCAGCGUCUCAUUCGGUGUUGCCAUAAUAAUGAGCAUCCGCUCCCAUCAAAAAAUACAAUAAGCUCAUUACUUAUCUAUUACACAUGCUUUCCUUUCCUUUGCCCGUUUUUCUGUGUGGGGAACGGUAUGUGUGUUGCUGUUGCAGGUAUGUUGUACGUGUAAAUGGAACUAUCACUGCGUAUCCCUGCUCCAGGAAAAGGGCAGGGCAACAGUGGGCGCUCCUUUUUCCUCCGUACGGAAUGGAAUAGCUCAAGGUACCAACCCUCAUUUCUCAGAAACAAUUUUACUUAUGUCUUCCCUGGACAUAAAGGCACCUGUUUUCCUCUGUUUAGAAAAAAAAGAUAAUAAUAAAAAAAGAGGAAACAAGUCCUCACUUAUUCCCACUGUUCAACUUUGAUAAAACUAUAGCUUAGAAGACUCUACAUAUUAAUAGCGUGAAUCACUUAAGUGAGGUACAUUAUGUUUUCAAUUUCCAUGAUGCUUUUAGUGCAGGCAACUUAUCAAGGGCUGCCGUUUAAUCUGCUGUAGCAAUCUUGAACAUUAAAG
Molecule: long non-coding RNA, 9196 nt
Organism: Gallus gallus (chicken)
Lineage: Eukaryota; Metazoa; Chordata; Aves; Galliformes; Phasianidae
Source: Ensembl